AGUGAACGCUGGCGGUAGGCCUAACACAUGCAAGUCGAACGGCAGCACAGUAAGAGCUUGCUCUUACGGGUGGCGAGUGGCGGACGGGUGAGGAAUACAUCGGAAUCUACUUUUUCGUGGGGGAUAACGUAGGGAAACUUACGCCAAUACCGCAUACGACCUACGGGUGAAAGCAGGGGAUCUUCGGACCUUGCGCGAUUGAAUGAGCCGAUGUCGGAUUAGCUAGUUGGCGGGGUAAAGGCCCACCAAGGCGACGAUCCGUAGCUGGUCUGAGAGGAUGAUCAGCCACACUGGAACUGAGACACGGUCCAGACUCCUACGGGAGGCAGCAGUGGGGAAUAUUGGACAAUGGGCGCAAGCCUGAUCCAGCUAUACCGCGUGGGUGAAGAAGGCCUUCGGGUUGUAAAGCCCUUUUGUUGGGAAAGAAAAGCAGCAGGUUAAUACCCCGCUGUUCUGACGGUACCCAAAGAAUAAGCACCGGCUAACUUCGUG
Molecule: ribosomal RNA, 492 nt
Filed under: uncultured bacterium
Lineage: Bacteria
Description: partial 16S ribosomal RNA
Rfam family: Bacterial small subunit ribosomal RNA
Source: RNAcentral